This 468-nucleotide ribosomal RNA is filed under the name uncultured bacterium. Its description in RNAcentral is "partial 16S ribosomal RNA". It matches the Rfam family "Bacterial small subunit ribosomal RNA", at positions 28 to 507 of the family's 1533-position model. The record is from RNAcentral.
GACGAACGCUGGCGGCGUGCUUAACACAUGCAAGUCGAACGGAAAGGCCCUGCUUUUGUGGGGUGCUCGAGUGGCGAACGGGUGAGUAACACGUGAGUAACCUGCCCUUGACUUUGGGAUAACUUCAGGAAACUGGGGCUAAUACCGGAUAGGAGCUCCUGCUGCAUGGUGGGGGUUGGAAAGUUUGGGCGGUUGGGGAUGGACUCGCGGCUUAUCAGCUUGUUGGUGGGGUAGUGGCUUACCAAGGCUUUGACGGGUAGCCGGCCUGAGAGGGUGACCGGCCACAUUGGUACUGAGAUACGGACCAGACUCCUACGGUAGGCAGCAGUGGGGAAUAUUGCACAAUGGGCGGAAGCGUGAUGCAGCAGCGCCGGGGGCGGGAUGACGGCCUGCGGGUUGUAAACCGCAUUCGCCUGUGACGAAGCGUGAGUGACGGUAAUGGGUAAAGAAGCACCGGCUAACUACGUG